RNAcentral lists this ribosomal RNA (253 nucleotides) under uncultured bacterium. Its description in RNAcentral is "partial 16S ribosomal RNA". It matches the Rfam family "Bacterial small subunit ribosomal RNA", at positions 524 to 776 of the family's 1533-position model. The record is from RNAcentral.
UACGGGGGGGGCAAGCGUUGUUCGGAAUUACUGGGCGUAAAAGGCUCGUAGGCGGCCAACUAAGUCCGACGUGAAAUCCCCAGGCUCAACCUGGGAACUGCGUCGGAUACUGGAUGGCUUGAAUUCGGGAGAGGGAUGCAGAAUUCCAGGUGUAGCGGUGAAAUGCGUAGAUAUCUGGAGGAAUACCGGUGGCGAAGGCGGCAUCCUGGACCGACAUUGACGUUGAGGAGCGAAAGCUAGGGGAGCAAACGGG